UGCUAUUGCCCACAUGUGUUUUUUAUUGAACAAAUUUCUUUGGUGGCGGGAGCAAUCCUACCGCCAGAGGUUAUAACUAAACCAAACUUUAUUUACAGUCAAACUUGAUUUAUUAUUACAAUAGUCAAAACUUUCAACAACGGAUCUCUUGGUUCUCGCAUCGAUGAAAAACGCACCGAAAUGCGAUACGUAAUAUGAAUUGCAGAUAUUCGUGAAUCAUCGAAUCUUUGAACGCACAUUGCGCCCUUUGGUAUUCCAAAGGGCAUGCCUGUUUGAGCGUCAUUUCUCCCUCAAACCCCCGGGUUUGGUGUUGAGCAAUACGCUAGGUUUGUUUGAAAGAAUUUAACGUGGAAACUUAUUUUAAGCGACUUAUGUUUAUCCAAAAACGCUUAUUUUGCUAGUGGCCACCACAAUUUAUUUCAUAACUUUGACCUCAAAUCAGGUAGGACUACCCGCUGAACUUAAGCAUAUCAAUAAACG
This 480-nucleotide ribosomal RNA is filed under the name Candida tropicalis. RNAcentral's name for it is "eukaryotic LSU rRNA". The stretch from base 129 to 282 matches the Rfam family "5.8S ribosomal RNA". Lineage: Eukaryota; Fungi; Ascomycota; Pichiomycetes; Serinales; Debaryomycetaceae. The record is from RNAcentral.